Molecule: ribosomal RNA, 484 nt
Filed under: uncultured bacterium
Lineage: Bacteria
Description: partial 16S ribosomal RNA
Rfam family: Bacterial small subunit ribosomal RNA
Source: RNAcentral
GAUGAACGCUGGCGGCGUGCUUAACACAUGCAAGUCGAACGGACUUAUGAUGAAACCUAGUGAUUCGUAAGUUAGUGGCGGACGGGUGAGUAACGCGUGGAUAACCUGCCUUACACUGGGGGAUAACACUUAGAAAUAGGUGCUAAUACCGCAUAAGCGCACAGGACCGCAUGGUCUGGUGUGAAAAACUCCGGUGGUGUAAGAUGGAUCCGCGUCUGAUUAGCUAGUUGGUGAGGUAACGGCUCACCAAGGCGACGAUCAGUAGCCGGCCUGAGAGGGUGAACGGCCACAUUGGGACUGGGACACGGCCCAAACUCCUACGGGAGGCAGCAGUGGGGAAUAUUGCACAAUGGGCGAAAGCCUGAUGCAGCGACGCCGCGUGAGUGAAGAAGUAUUUCGGUAUGUAAAGCUCUAUCGGCAUGGAAGAAAAUGACGGUACUUGACUAAGAAGCCCCGGCUAACUACGUGCCAGCAGCCGCGGUAA